AGAUGGCUUGGUGGCCCGAAAGGGAAUCGGAACACAGGUGCUGCAUGGCUGUCGUCAGCUCGUGUCGUGAGAUGUGGUUAAGUCCCGCAACGAGCGCAACCCUUAUCAUUAGUUGCUACGCAAGGGCACUCUAAUAAGACUGCCGGUGACAAACCGGAGAAGGUGGGGAUGACGUCAAGUCCUCAUGGCCCUUAUGGGUAGGGCUUCACACGUCAUACAAUGGUCGGUACAGAGGGUUGCCAAGCCGCGAGGCGGAGCCAAUCCCACAAAGCCGAUCGUAGUCCGGAUUGUUCUCUGCAACUCGAGAGCAUGAAGUCGGAAUCGCUAGUAAUCGCAGGUCAGCAUACUGCGGUGAAUACGUUCCCGGGUCUU
RNAcentral lists this ribosomal RNA (372 nucleotides) under uncultured Thiobacillus sp. Its description in RNAcentral is "bacterial SSU rRNA". It matches the Rfam family "Bacterial small subunit ribosomal RNA", at positions 1002 to 1382 of the family's 1533-position model. Lineage: Bacteria; Pseudomonadati; Pseudomonadota; Betaproteobacteria; Nitrosomonadales; Thiobacillaceae. The record is from RNAcentral.